UACGGAGGGGGCUAGCGUUGUUCGGAAUUACUGGGCGUAAAGCGCACGUAGGCGGCUUUGUAAGUUAGAGGUGAAAGCCCGGGGCUCAACUCCGGAAUUGCCUUUAAGACUGCAUCGCUAGAAUUGUGGAGAGGUAAGUGGAAUUCCGAGUGUAGAGGUGAAAUUCGUAGAUAUUCGGAAGAACACCAGUGGCGAAGGCGACUUACUGGACACAGAUUGACGCUGAGGUGCGAAAGCGUGGGGAGCAAACAGG
This 253-nucleotide ribosomal RNA is filed under the name uncultured bacterium. RNAcentral describes it as "partial 16S ribosomal RNA". It matches the Rfam family "Bacterial small subunit ribosomal RNA", at positions 524 to 776 of the family's 1533-position model. The record is from RNAcentral.